RNAcentral lists this ribosomal RNA (813 nucleotides) under Bacillus subtilis. RNAcentral's name for it is "bacterial SSU rRNA". It matches the Rfam family "Bacterial small subunit ribosomal RNA", at positions 642 to 1454 of the family's 1533-position model. RNAcentral also lists the same sequence under 1 other name. Lineage: Bacteria; Bacillati; Bacillota; Bacilli; Caryophanales; Bacillaceae. The record is from RNAcentral.
AGUGCAGAAGAGAAAGUGGAAAUCCAUGUGUAGCGGUGAAAUGCGUAGAGAUAAUGAAGGAACAACAGUGGCGAAAGGCGACUUUCUGGUUCUGUAACUGACACUGAGGCGCGAAAGCGUGGGGAGCAAACAGGAUUAGAUAACCCUGGUAGUUCACGCCGUUAAACGAUGAGUGCUAAAGUGUUAGAGGGUUUCCGCCCUUUAGUGCUGAAGUUAACGCAAUAAGCACUCCGCCUGGGGAGUACGGCCGCAAGGCUGAAACUCAAAGGAAUUGACGGGGGCCCGCACAAGCGGUGGAGCAUGUGGUUUAAUUUGAAGCAACGCGAAGAACCUUACCAGGUCUUGACAUCCUUUGACAACCCUAGAGAUAGGGCUUCUCCUUUGGGAGCAGAGUGACCGGUGGUGCAUGGUUGUUGUCAGCUCGUGUCGUGAGAUGUUGGGUUAAGUCCCGCAACGAGCGCAACCCUUGAUUUUAGUUGCCAUCAUUUAGUUGGGCACUUUAAGGUGACUGCCGGUGACAAACCGGAGGAAGGUGGGGAUGACGUCAAAUCAUCAUGCCCCUUAUGACCUGGGCUACACACGUGGUACAAUGGACGGUACAAAGAGCUGCAAGACCGCGAGGUGGAGCUAAUUUCAUAAAACCGUUUUCAGUUUGGAUUGUAGGGUGCAACUUGCCUACCUGAAGCUGGAAUCGCUUGUAAUCGCGGAUCAGCAUGCCGCGGUGAAUACGUUCCCGGGCCUUGUACACACCGCCCGUCACACCCCGAGAGUUUGUAACACCCGAAGUUCGGUGGGGUAACCUUUGAGCCAGCC